GAUGAAGAACGUAGCGAAAUGCGAUAAGUAAUGUGAAUUGCAGAAUUCAGUGAAUCAUCGAAUCUUUGAACGCACAUUGCGCCCGCCAGUAUUCUGGCGGGCAUGCCUGUUUGAGCGUCAUUACAACCCUCAGGCCCCCGGGCCUGGCGUUGGGGAUCGGCGGAGCCCCCCGUGGGCACACGCCGUCCCCCAAAUGCAGUGGCGGUCCCGCCGCAGCUUCCAUCGCGUAGUAGCUAACACCUCGCGACUGGAGAGCGGCGCGGCCACGCCGUAAAACACCCAACUCUUCUGAAGUUGACCUCGAAUCAGGUAGGAAUACCCGCUGAACUUAAGCAUAUCAAUAAGCGGAGGA
RNAcentral lists this unclassified non-coding RNA (352 nucleotides) under soil metagenome. RNAcentral's name for it is "partial contains 5.8S ribosomal RNA, internal transcribed spacer 2, and large subunit ribosomal RNA". The stretch from base 1 to 120 matches the Rfam family "5.8S ribosomal RNA", at positions 35 to 154 of the family's 154-position model. The record is from RNAcentral.